RNAcentral lists this ribosomal RNA (568 nucleotides) under uncultured bacterium. RNAcentral's name for it is "bacterial SSU rRNA". It matches the Rfam family "Bacterial small subunit ribosomal RNA", at positions 777 to 1351 of the family's 1533-position model. The record is from RNAcentral.
AAUAGAUACCCCGGUAGUCCAUGCUGUAAACGAUGAGUGCUCAUAUUUAGAGUAAUUUAGAUAUUUUAAGAAGCUAACGCGUUAAGCACUCCGCCUGAAGAGUAUAAUCGCAAGAUUGAAAUUCAAAGGAAUUGACGGGAGUCUACACAAGCGGUGGAGCAUGUGGUUUAAUUCGAUAAUACGCGCAGAACCUUACCAAUUCUUGUAAAUAUUUUAAAAAUUUUUUUUAAAAAUACAGGCGUUGCAUGGCUGUCGUCAGCUCGUGUUGUGAGAUGUUUGGUUUAUUCCCUUAACGAGCGAAACCCCUAUUUUUAGUUGCUAAUUUGUAUAAAAGAAAGACUCUUUUUAUAAAUGCACUUUAAAAAAGUUAAUGACAUAUUAACGGAAAUGGGGAUUACGUCAAGUCUUCAUGGCCCUUAUGAAUUGGGCUACACACGUGCUACAAUGAUAAAUACAAUGAGAGGCAAUAAUAAUAAUAAAUUGGAGCAAAUCUUAAAAUUAUCUUAAGUUCGGAUUAUGGGCCGCAACUCGCCCAUAUAAAGUUGGAAUCGCUAGUAAUCGCAAAAAC